GAAAUGCGAUAAUUAAUGUGAAUUACAGAAUUCAGUGAAUCAUCGAGUCUUUGAACGCACAUUGCGCCUCCUGGUAUUCCGGGGGGCAUGCCUGUCCGAGCGUCAUUGCUGCCCUCAAGCACGGCUUGUGUGUUGGGCUUCCGUCCCUGGCAACGGGGACGGGCCCAAAAGGCAGUGGCGGCACCAUGUCUGGUCCUCGAGCGUAUGGGGCUUUGUCACCCGCUCCCGUAGGUCCAGCUGGCAGCUAGCCUCGCAACCAAUCUUUUUAACCAGGUUGACCUCGGAUCAGGUAGGGAUACCCGCUGAACUUAAGC
Molecule: unclassified non-coding RNA, 314 nt
Filed under: plant metagenome
Description: partial contains 5.8S ribosomal RNA, internal transcribed spacer 2, and large subunit ribosomal RNA
Rfam family: 5.8S ribosomal RNA (bases 1-105)
Source: RNAcentral